RNAcentral lists this ribosomal RNA (368 nucleotides) under uncultured Ostreococcus. Its description in RNAcentral is "SSU rRNA". It matches the Rfam family "Eukaryotic small subunit ribosomal RNA", at positions 589 to 986 of the family's 1831-position model. Lineage: Eukaryota; Viridiplantae; Chlorophyta; Mamiellophyceae; Mamiellales. The record is from RNAcentral.
AGCUCCAAUAGCGUAUAUUUAAGUUGUUGCAGUUAAAAAGCUCGUAGUCGGACUUUGGCUGAGAACGGUCGGUCCGCCGUUAGGUGUGCACUGACUGGUCUCAGCUUCCUGGUGAGGACGCGCUCCUCACGGACGCGGAGUCACCGUGGUUACUUUGAAAAAAUUAGAGUGUUCAAAGCGGGCUUACGCUUGAAUAUAUUAGCAUGGAAUAACACCAUAGGACUCCUGUCCUAUUUCGUUGGUCUCGGGACGGGAGUAAUGAUUAAGAGGAACAGUUGGGGCAUUCGUAUUUCAUUGUCAGAGGUGAAAUUCUUGGAUUUAUGAAAGACGAACKWCUGCGAAAGCAUUUACCAAGGAUGUUUUCAUUA